UACAGAGGUCUCAAGCGUUGUUCGGAUUCAUUGGGCGUAAAGGGUGCGUAGGCGGCGCGGUAAGUCGGGUGUGAAAUCCUUGAGCUUAACUCAAGAAGUGCCCUAGAAACGGUAAGACUAGAGUACUGGAGAGGGUCGUGGAAUUCCCGGUGUAGCGGUGAAAUGCGUAGAGAUCGGGAGGAACACCAGAGGCGAAGGCGGCGACCUGGACAGUGACUGACACUCAACUACGAAAGCGUGGGGAGCAAACAGG
RNAcentral lists this ribosomal RNA (253 nucleotides) under uncultured bacterium. Its description in RNAcentral is "partial 16S ribosomal RNA". It matches the Rfam family "Bacterial small subunit ribosomal RNA", at positions 524 to 776 of the family's 1533-position model. The record is from RNAcentral.